This 253-nucleotide ribosomal RNA is filed under the name uncultured bacterium. Its description in RNAcentral is "partial 16S ribosomal RNA". It matches the Rfam family "Bacterial small subunit ribosomal RNA", at positions 524 to 776 of the family's 1533-position model. The record is from RNAcentral.
UACGUAGGCAGCAAGCGUUGUUCGGAAUUACUGGGCGUAAAGAGUGUGUAGGCGGUGCUCUAAGUUCGGUGUGAAAUCUCCCGCUUAACUGGGAGGGUGCGCCGGAAACUGGAGUGCUUGAGCGCGGGAGAGGAAAGCGGAAUUCCUGGUGUAGCGGUGAAAUGCGUAGAUAUCAGGAGGAACACCUGUGGUGUAGACGGCUUUCUGGACCGUAGCUGACGCUGAGACACGAAAAGCGUGGGUAGCAAACAGG